AUUGAACGCUGGCGGCAUGCCUUACACAUGCAAGUCGAACGGCAGCACGGGAGCAAUCCUGGUGGCGAGUGGCGAACGGGUGAGCAAAGUAUCGGAACGUGCCCAGUCGUGGGGGAUAACGUAGCGAAAGUUACGCUAAUACCGCAUACGAUCUAUGGAUGAAAGCGGGGGAUCGCAAGACCUCGCGCGAUUGGAGCGGCCGAUAUCAGAUUAGGUAGUUGGUGGGGUAAAGGCUCACCAAGCCGACGAUCUGUAGAUGGUCUGAGAGGACGACCAGCCACACUGGGAAUGAGACACGGCCCAGACUCCUACGGGAGGCAGCAGUGGGGAAUUUUGGACAAUGGGCGAAAGCCUGAUUCAGCCAUGCCGCGUGCAGGAUGAAGGCCUUCGGGUUGUAAACUGCUUUUGUACGGAGCGAAAAGGCUCUCUCUAAUACAGGGGGCUCAUGACGGUACCGUAAGAAUAAGCGCCGGCUAACUACGUGCCAGCAGCCGCCGUAA
RNAcentral lists this ribosomal RNA (500 nucleotides) under uncultured bacterium. Its description in RNAcentral is "partial 16S ribosomal RNA". It matches the Rfam family "Bacterial small subunit ribosomal RNA", at positions 30 to 523 of the family's 1533-position model. The record is from RNAcentral.